CACUAUCGUUAACUGAAUACAUAGGUUAACGAGGCGAACCGGGGGAACUGAAACAUCUAAGUACCCCGAGGAAAAGAAAUCAACCGAGAUUCCCCCAGUAGCGGCGAGCGAACGGGGAGCAGCCCAGAGUCUGAAUCAGCUUGUGUGUUAGUGGAACGGUCUGGAAAGUCCGACGGUACAGGGUGAUAGUCCCGUACACCAAAAUGCACAGGCUGUGAACUCGAAGAGUAGGGCGGGACACGUGGUAUCCUGUCUGAAUAUGGGGGGACCAUCCUCCAAGGCUAAAUACUCCUGACUGACCGAUAGUGAACCAGUACCGUGAGGGAAAGGCGAAAAGAACCCCGGCGAGGGGAGUGAAAAAGAACCUGAAACCGUGUACGUACAAGCAGUGGGAGCACCUUCGGGUGUGACUGCGUACCUUUUGUAUAAUGGGUCAGCGACUUAUAUUCUGUAGCAAGGUUAACCGUAUAGGGGAGCCGCAGGGAAACCGAGUCUUAACUGGGCGUUAAGUUGCAGGGUAUAGACCCGAAACCCGGUGAUCUAGCCAUGGGCAGGUUGAAGGUUGGGUAACACUAACUGGAGGACCGAACCGACUAAUGUUGAAAAAUUAGCGGAUGACUUGUGGCUGGGGGUGAAAGGCCAAUCAAACCGGGAGAUAGCUGGUUCUCCCCGAAAGCUAUUUAGGUAGCGCCUCGUGAAUUCAUCUUCGGGGGUAGAGCACUGUUUCGGCUAGGGGGUCAUCCCGACUUACCAACCCGAUGCAAACUACGAAUACCGAAGAAUGUUAUCACGGGAGACACACGGCGGGUGCUAACGUCCGUCGUGAAGAGGGAAACAACCCAGACCGCCAGCUAAGGUCCCAAAGUCAUGGUUAAGUGGGAAACGAUGUGGGAAGGCACAGACAGCCAGGAUGUUGGCUUAGAAGCAGCCAUCAUUUAAAGAAAGCGUAAUAGCUCACUGGUCGAGUCGGCCUGCGCGGAAGAUGUAACGGGGCUAAACCAUGCACCGAAGCUGCGGCAGCGACACUAUGUGUUGUUGGGUAGGGGAGCGUUCUGUAAGCCUGCGAAGGUGACCUGUGAGGGUUGCUGGAGGUAUCAGAAGUGCGAAUGCUGACAUAAGUAACGAUAAAGCGGGUGAAAAGCCCGCUCGCCGGAAGACCAAGGGUUCCUGUCCAACGUUAAUCGGGGCAGGGUGAGUCGACCCCUAAGGCGAGGCCGAAAGGCGUAGUCGAUGGGAAACAGGUUAAUAUUCCUGUACUUGGUGUUACUGCGAAGGGGGGACGGAGAAGGCUAUGUUAGCCGGGCGACGGUUGUCCCGGUUUAAGCAUGUAGGCUGGUUGUCCAGGCAAAUCCGGAUAAUCAAGGCUGAGGUGUGAUGACGAGGCACUACGGUGCUGAAGUAACAAAUGCCCUGCUUCCAGGAAAAGCCUCUAAGCAUCAGGUAACAUCAAAUCGUACCCCAAACCGACACAGGUGGUCAGGUAGAGAAUACCAAGGCGCUUGAGAGAACUCGGGUGAAGGAACUAGGCAAAAUGGUGCCGUAACUUCGGGAGAAGGCACGCUGGUGUGUAGGUGAAGUCCCUGCGGAUGGAGCUGAGACCAGUCGAAGAUACCAGCUGGCUGCAACUGUUUAUUAAAAACACAGCACUGUGCAAACACGAAAGUGGACGUAUACGGUGUGACGCCUGCCCGGUGCCGGAAGGUUAAUUGAUGGGGUUAUCCGUAAGGAGAAGCUCUUGAUCGAAGCCCCGGUAAACGGCGGCCGUAACUAUAACGGUCCUAAGGUAGCGAAAUUCCUUGUCGGGUAAGUUCCGACCUGCACGAAUGGCGUAAUGAUGGCCAGGCUGUCUCCACCCGAGACUCAGUGAAAUUGAACUCGCUGUGAAGAUGCAGUGUACCCGCGGCAAGACGGAAAGACCCCGUGAACCUUUACUAUAGCUUGACACUGAACAUUGAGCCUUGAUGUGUAGGAUAGGUGGGAGGCUUUGAAGCGUGGACGCCAGUCUGCGUGGAGCCAACCUUGAAAUACCACCCUUUAAUGUUUGAUGUUCUAACGUUGGCCCCUGACCGGGGUUGCGGACAGUGUCUGGUGGGUAGUUUGACUGGGGCGGUCUCCUCCCAAAGCGUAACGGAGGAGCACGAAGGUUAGCUAAUCCUGGUCGGACAUCAGGAGGUUAGUGCAAUGGCAUAAGCUAGCUUGACUGCGAGCGUGACGGCGCGAGCAGGUGCGAAAGCAGGUCAUAGUGAUCCGGUGGUUCUGAAUGGAAGGGCCAUCGCUCAACGGAUAAAAGGUACUCCGGGGAUAACAGGCUGAUACCGCCCAAGAGUUCAUAUCGACGGCGGUGUUUGGCACCUCGAUGUCGGCUCAUCACAUCCUGGGGCUGAAGUAGGUCCCAAGGGUAUGGCUGUUCGCCAUUUAAAGUGGUACGCGAGCUGGGUUUAGAACGUCGUGAGACAGUUCGGUCCCUAUCUGCCGUGGGCGCUGGAGAAUUGAGGGGGGCUGCUCCUAGUACGAGAGGACCGGAGUGGACGCAUCACUGGUGUUCGGGUUGUCAUGCCAAUGGCACUGCCCGGUAGCUAAAUGCGGAAGAGAUAAGUGCUGAAAGCAUCUAAGCACGAAACUUGCCCCGAGAUGAGUUCUCCCUGAGACUUUAAGUCUCCUGAAGGAACGUUGAAGACGACGACGUUGAUAGGCCGGGUGUGUAAGCGCAGCGAUGCGUUGAGCUAACCGGUACUAAUGAACCGUGAGGCUUAACCUUACAACGCCGAAG
Molecule: ribosomal RNA, 2770 nt
Filed under: Klebsiella pneumoniae
Lineage: Bacteria; Pseudomonadati; Pseudomonadota; Gammaproteobacteria; Enterobacterales; Enterobacteriaceae
Also listed under: 2 other names
Description: bacterial LSU rRNA
Rfam family: Bacterial large subunit ribosomal RNA
Source: RNAcentral